This 326-nucleotide ribosomal RNA is filed under the name uncultured eukaryote. Its description in RNAcentral is "partial 18S ribosomal RNA". It matches the Rfam family "Eukaryotic small subunit ribosomal RNA", at positions 1470 to 1796 of the family's 1831-position model. The record is from RNAcentral.
CCCUUAGAUGUCCGGGGCCGCACGCGCGCUACACUGAAGGAAUCAGCGUGGCUCUGUCCCUGGUCCGAAAGGAUUGGGAAACCCGUUGAAUCUCCUUCGUGAUAGGGAUUGGGGCUUGGAACUGUUCCCCAUGAACGAGGAAUUCCCAGUAAGCGCGAGUCAUAAGCUCGCGUUGAUUACGUCCCUGCCCUUUGUACACACCGCCCGUCGCACCUACCGAUUGAAUGGUCCGGUGAAAUCUCCGGACUGGCGUGAGUCGGAGCAAUCUGACAAACGCCGGAAAGUUGAUUAAACCUUACCAUUUAGAGGAAGGUGAAGUCGUAACA